This 1350-nucleotide ribosomal RNA is filed under the name metagenome. RNAcentral describes it as "bacterial SSU rRNA". It matches the Rfam family "Bacterial small subunit ribosomal RNA", at positions 132 to 1476 of the family's 1533-position model. The record is from RNAcentral.
UUGAGUGGGGGAUAACGUAGCGAAAGUUGCGCUAAUACCGCGUAUUCUGUGAGCAGGAAAGCAGGGGACCGCAAGGCCUUGCGCUCUUUGAGCGGCCGAUGUCAGAUUAGCUAGUUGGUGAGGUAAAGGCUUACCAAGGCGACGAUCUGUAGCGGGUCUGAGAGGAUGAUCCGCCAUACUGGAACUGAGACACGGUCCAGACUCCUACGGGAGGCAGCAGUGGGGAAUUUUGGACAAUGGGGGCAACCCUGAUCCAGCCCUGCCGCGUGAGUGAAGAAGGCCUUCGGGUUGUAAAGCUCUUUCGGCCGGGAAGAAAUCGCAUGGGCCAAUACCCUGUGCGGAUGACGGUACCGGAAUAAGAAGCACCGGCUAACUACGUGCCAGCAGCCGCGGUAAUACGUAGGGUGCGAGCGUUAAUCGGAAUUACUGGGCGUAAAGCGUGCGCAGGCGGUUUUGUAAGACAGGCGUGAAAUCCCCGGGCUUAACCUGGGAACUGCGUUUGUGACUGCAAGGCUAGAGUACGGCAGAGGGGGGUGGAAUUCCACGUGUAGCAGUGAAAUGCGUAGAGAUGUGGAGGAACACCAAUGGCGAAGGCAGCCCCCUGGGUCGAUACUGACGCUCAUGCACGAAAGCGUGGGUAGCAAACAGGAUUAGAUACCCUGGUAGUCCACGCCCUAAACUAUGUCAACUAGGUGUUGGGUGGGUAAAACCAUUUAGUACCGUAGCUAACGCGUGAAGUUGACCGCCUGGGGAGUACGGCCGCAAGGUUAAAACUCAAAGGAAUUGACGGGGACCCGCACAAGCGGUGGAUGAUGUGGAUUAAUUCGAUGCAACGCGAAAAACCUUACCUACCCUUGACAUGCCAGGAACUUGCCAGAGAUGGCUUGGUGCCCGAAAGGGAGCCUGGACACAGGUGCUGCAUGGCUGUCGUCAGCUCGUGUCGUGGGAUGUUGGGUUAAGUCCCGCAACGAGCGCAACCCUUGUCGUUAAUUGCCAUCAUUUAGUUGGGCACUUUAACGAGACUGCCGGUGACAAACCGGAGGAAGGUGGGGAUGACGUCAAGUCCUCAUGGCCCUUAUGGGUAGGGCUUCACACGUCAUACAAUGGUCGGUACAAAGGGUUGCCAAGCCGCGAGGCGGAGCCAAUCCCAGAAAGCCGAUCGUAGUCCGGAUUGCAGGCUGCAACUCGCCUGCAUGAAGUCGGAAUCGCUAGUAAUCGUGGAUCAGCAUGUCACGGUGAAUACGUUCCCGGGUCUUGUACACACCGCCCGUCACACCAUGGGAGCGGGUUCCGCCAGAAGUAGGUAGCCUAACCGCAAGGGGGGCGCUUACCACGGCGGGGUUCGUGACU